This 24-nucleotide non-coding RNA is filed under the name Cricetulus griseus (Chinese hamster). Lineage: Eukaryota; Metazoa; Chordata; Mammalia; Rodentia; Cricetidae. The record is from RNAcentral.
AUGUCAUUGGACUUUAAAAGGGGA